RNAcentral lists this ribosomal RNA (608 nucleotides) under uncultured bacterium. Its description in RNAcentral is "bacterial SSU rRNA". It matches the Rfam family "Bacterial small subunit ribosomal RNA", at positions 338 to 947 of the family's 1533-position model. The record is from RNAcentral.
CCUACGGGAGGCAGCAGUAAGGAAUAUUGGUCAAUGGACGCAAGUCUGAACCAGCCAUGCCGCGUGAAGGAUGAAGGCCCUCUGGGUUGUAAACUUCUUUUACAGGGGACGAAAAAAGGGAAUUUUUCUCACUUGACGGUACCCUGGGAAUAAGCACCGGCUAACUCCGUGCCAGCAGCCGCGGUAAUACGGAGGGUGCAAGCGUUAUCCGGAUUCACUGGGUUUAAAGGGUGCGUAGGUGGGCAUUUAAGUCAGUGGUGAAAUCUCCGGGCUUAACCCGGAAACUGCCAUUGAUACUAUUUGUCUUGAAUAUUGUGGAGGUAAGCGGAAUAUGUCAUGUAGCGGUGAAAUGCUUAGAUAUGACAUAGAACACCCAUUGCGAAGGCAGCUUACUACGCAAAUAUUGACACUGAGGCACGAAAGCGUGGGGAUCAAACAGGAUUAGAUACCCCGGUAGUCCACGCCCUAAACGAUGGAUACUCGACAUCAGCGAUACACAGUUGGUGUCUGAGCGAAAGCAUUAAGUAUCCCACCUGGGAAGUACGACCGCAAGGUUGAAACUCAAAUGAAUUGACGGNUGAGAGNGCGAGACGACGACGAGGGAGAGG